AGACGAACCGAGCGAACGUUGUUCGGAAUCACUGGGCUUAAAGGGCGCGUAGGCGGGUGCUCAAGUCCGGGGUGAAAUCCUCCAGCUCAACUGGAGAACUGCCUCGGAUACUGGGUGCCUCGAGGGUGGUAGGGGUAUGCGGAACUAUCGGUGGAGCGGUGAAAUGCGUUGAUAUCGAUAGGAACUCCGGUGGCGAAGGCGGCAUACUGGACCACAUCUGACGCUGAGGCGCGAAAGCCAGGGGAGCAAACGGGA
RNAcentral lists this ribosomal RNA (255 nucleotides) under uncultured prokaryote. RNAcentral's name for it is "partial 16S ribosomal RNA". It matches the Rfam family "Bacterial small subunit ribosomal RNA", at positions 523 to 777 of the family's 1533-position model. The record is from RNAcentral.